RNAcentral lists this ribosomal RNA (261 nucleotides) under uncultured bacterium. RNAcentral describes it as "partial 16S ribosomal RNA". It matches the Rfam family "Bacterial small subunit ribosomal RNA", at positions 57 to 305 of the family's 1533-position model. The record is from RNAcentral.
GCAAGUCGAACGAGAAAGCACUUUCGGGUGUGAGUAGAGUGGCGCACGGGUGAGUAACACGUAGGUGACCUUCCCUUCGGCGGGGGACAACUAGGAGAAAUCUUAGCUAAUACCGCAUACGUAUAACAAAUUUGAAAGUAGUUAUAGAAAGGAUGCCUCUGCAUAUGCAUUCACCGAAGGAUGGGCCUGCGGGACAUUAGCUUGAUGGUGGGGUAACGGCUUACCAUGGCAACGAUGUCUAGCGGAUUUGAGAGAAUGAUC